AGCUCCCUGUGCCGCGGCCUGAAAAGAGGCGUGGAGGUGUGCCGUUGGAGCAUGUGGUCGCAAAACGUCGCGAUGGAAGAAGGCCUUCUUCCCUCGAGAGGGAGCGAGAGAACGAUGACGAAUGGAAAAUAAGAGAGGCGCAGCCUCUAAUCCAAUUAGAUCGGAAUCCGGGGUUUAAUCAACACACCGAGACACACCGAGAGAUGUUCUGCUCGAAACCGAGUGGGUUCGUCCGCCAUAAUUGGCUGCCCCCGCGCGAUCCUAUCGAGAAAUCAAACACGAGAGAUUUUUUUUUCUUAUUUCACGGGCGGUGACUCCGCUGCGAGCUGUACCGUUACCAUCCAUCUUCCUCGAUCGAAAAUGCCUGCUCCGAUUGAUCCGCUUCCGAUCCACCACGCCGCGCCCCUUAUAUCGAUCCCCGGAUCUCUCCUCGUCGAAUACAGAAUGGAUUGUGCGAUCGAUCGAAUUUUGACUUCAUCUUUCGUCAACUGUCGCCGAGGAACUUGGCCGAUGUUAUCUUGGUCGAAGACAGUUACGUUGAUUGGUCGUUUCGGAAGGGAGGGGGAAUAUUUGUUCGAUUUUUCUCGAGAGAUAUGAUCGAAUACGAAAAAUAAAAAACUUGGAGGCGAUGAUUUCGAGUAGUACAAAAGUGACAUUCAUAUUUUUAUAUGUAUCGAUUGAAAAGAAAAGCAAGAGUCUGAUGAAUUAUUCGUUCAAAUUUCGAACGUUAAAAUAUUCACGUUUAAUAUUCGACGAACGUGAAACCCAAAUUCGAUUAACGAUUCGAACAAAUAUCUUCUCUUUUUGAUAUUCGAUAACGAUCGGGUCAACUCGAUCAUCAACCGUUUUGAAUUAAUUAUCCGUCAAAACGAAACACGAUACGGGAUAUAGGUUCGUACCGCGGCGGUUUGCAAUUUAAAGUAGCCGCGGGUUGCCGUGUGUGCGCGCGCAUGCGUGUUGCACACGUAUGCGCGCGCAACACAGCGAAUCCCAGAGGCCGCGUGUAAUUGGCCGAAGCGUCGAACGCUUGGCCCUCGAUUACGUAGCCGGAUCGGGGGCAAAAGGUGGUUAAAGCUGAUUUACUCGUUCCACGGCUACAUUCUGACACGCUCUUCUUUGCAUCAUAAUCGCACGCCGACGAAACGGGGACGGCCUAACAUUGUUCCAUCAACGACGGAACGAGCCCGCCAAUCUUCUAAAUUGAAACUCAGCUACUUCGAUCAAAAGUCUUGAAAAGUUUUAGCUUCGGAGGUUAUAAGUUACCUACGCCGUGUUAAAAGGCGUGGUACGACAGACUGUUGGGUUUAUUUUCAUUUGGAUUCGAAGGAAUAUUUCCCAACACAGAGCGGAAGCCUCGCGUGCCGGAUCGUUUCUCAAGCGAAUUUAGCAAUAUAUCUCGGCCCAAGUGCGUGGUGGACGGGCGGAGAAAUUAACAGUGCGAUAGAAAGGCGCGAUUAAAAGGCGACGCUUAAACUUUCGCGGAUAUAUAAUUCGACCCGUGUCAAGUAGGUUACAUUUAUCUAUGUUCAAUUAACCGUUUACCGGAAUACGUUCAACUCGUGGUUGAAGAAAUAUUCGAGAAAUUCGAUUCGUUGGCAUGGAAAUCAACAGAGUUCAACUAUCAUUUACUCGAACUCGUUGAACAAAUAUCUCGACGAGAAAGAAAAAAGGAGAUAAUAUUGGCCAAUCUUUCCGAUCGUUUCGCCAUUUUGAUGAUAUCUCUUGAAGCGAGAAUGAUGAAAAAUGAAAAAAAUAAAAUAGAUUUUUGUCAUCGUAAUGCAUCACAGAUAAAAAAGAUCUUCGAAAGAUUCGAUUUUCGUUGAUUGGAACGGAUUCGAUUUAUUUCAGUUCGAUAUGUUUCUAAUUUAUUCACAAUGUUAUUUUCGAUUUUUUUUUUUACUAAUCACUGAUUAAUUACACGUAGUAAAUUUUAAAUUUAGGAAUGGCUCGAAGAAUUUGAAUUAAUUUUUCGGAUCGGAUAAUUGUUAUACCGCGUUUUCGAAACGAAUAUUUUAGAAUUUGAAGUUUUUCGAUCUGUUAUCUAGUAUAGAAUAAAAGUUAAACAACGAAGACGAUUUCUACGCAAGCGUGUUGAUUGCACGUUGAACUUGGCGGAAUGAGAAUGACGCCUAAUAUCGGUUGCAACGAUGCACUGGACGUGCAUCUUCGGGUCAACGCGAUGUUAAUGACUUAUGUAAGUUACGUUGGUCUCGAGGGAAGAACAGGUUUGACGUAUGGACUUCAGAGAUGGAUGCAAGCGGAAAAUUGCUCGAUUCUGCGGAACGAACGUGAUUCCACAGUCUUUCCACAAUUUAUCUUCGAAACGUUGGAGAAAGAGAGAGUGGAUAACAUUAUAACGAAUUUACAAAAAGUAACGAUGAUCGAGCAACUUUCAAAAAAAAAAAAAAAGGAAAAAGGAAAAAAAAAU
Apis mellifera (honey bee) is the source of this 2428-nucleotide long non-coding RNA. RefSeq lists it as uncharacterized. The record is from RefSeq and is a predicted model, not a curated record. NCBI's taxonomy places the organism in Eukaryota, Metazoa, Arthropoda, Insecta, Hymenoptera, Apidae. The transcript has 2 exons.